RNAcentral lists this ribosomal RNA (467 nucleotides) under uncultured bacterium. RNAcentral's name for it is "partial 16S ribosomal RNA". It matches the Rfam family "Bacterial small subunit ribosomal RNA", at positions 28 to 507 of the family's 1533-position model. The record is from RNAcentral.
GAUGAACGCUGGCGGCGUGCCUAACACAUGCAAGUCGAACGAUGAAGCCCAGCUUGCUGGGUGGUUUAGUGGCGAACGGGUGAGUAACACGUGAGCAACCUGCCCCUGACUCUGGGAUAAGUGCUGGAAACGGCGCCUAAUACUGGAUAUGUCCCGUCACCGCAUGGUGUGCGGGUGGAAAGAUUUUUCGGUUGGGGAUGGGCUCGCGGCCUAUCAGCUUGUUGGUGAGGUAAUGGCUCACCAAGGCGUCGACGGGUAGCCGGCCUGAGAGGGUGACCGGCGACACUGGGACUGAGACACGGCGCAGACUCCUACGGGAGGCAGCAGGGGAGAGUAUUGCACAGUGGGCGGAAGCCUGAUGCAGCGACGCCGCGUGAGGGAUGACGGCCUUCGAGUUGUAAACCUCUUUUAGCAGAGAAGAAGCGGAAGUGACGUUACCUGCAGAAAAAGCACCGGCUAACUACGUG